RNAcentral lists this long non-coding RNA (297 nucleotides) under Setaria viridis. Its description in RNAcentral is "long non-coding RNA (SVIR_LNC007581)". Lineage: Eukaryota; Viridiplantae; Streptophyta; Magnoliopsida; Poales; Poaceae. The record is from RNAcentral.
UUGGGUGAUGUGAUUGGUGGAUGAGAAAUAGUAAAAUAUGACAUACUAGGUUGCAGAAAUGUAAGUUCUUUUCAUACCAUUAUUUGUUCAUUACAUAUCCUUUGUGGUCCUAAUACUGAGUGCUUUGCAGUUUCUUUUGCCAUGGAAGUAUGUCAAUACCUACCUGCUUUAUGUACUCGACAUUAAGCGGAAGAAACUUAUUAUGAUUGAAACGUGCAUAUCGAAAAAGUGAGUAAAUAUGCUUUGUUGUACGUUCCUUUGUAAUUUUACAAUAUACGAUAAAUCCCAUCACACGAG